Schizosaccharomyces pombe (fission yeast) is the source of this 593-nucleotide non-coding RNA. Lineage: Eukaryota; Fungi; Ascomycota; Schizosaccharomycetes; Schizosaccharomycetales; Schizosaccharomycetaceae. The record is from the annotation of a GenBank genome assembly.
UCAUGGUUGCUCACUUGCCCUAAGCUCACGUUAAUCACUUUGUAAACAGACGGGGUUAGGAUAAACUAUCGUUUCACUAUCAAUUGUCGUUGAGCAAACACCGAAACCUCUAUAUUACUGGGGGGUACUUCAAUGUUUUUGCGAGAAUAUUAGCUUGAGAUAUGGGUGAAUCAUUUUCAGAAAUGAGACUUUUUGUACUGCUAAGUAUCAUUGAUACAUUGUAGAGAUGUUAAACAAAUGGAAUAUAAUAUAAUGCAAUACGACCUCGGCAAACUGCGUCGUUUUCUUAAUGUUCUAUAAAAUCUUGUGCUGCUAAAAUUCGUGAUAGCCCAUGGCAAAACAAUAAACGCCAUCAAAAGUGAGAAAGACAAUAGGAGUAAAUUCUUUGGAGAAAAAAUAAAAGGGUUUGUGAUGAAUUAUGAGAUUUUCAUUAUGCAAGUAUGUCAAGCAUUUUUGGGCUUUUAAAAUGUAUCUAAAUGAAGUUUAAAACGUUCGGAUGGGAUUUACUACCAACUAAUCAUAACUAGCACCUUUUGAUUAAAUCCCAAAGUAAUGAAAGAAAGAUAACACACAUCUUUCAUAUGUUGACUAAG